AUCUCUCUCCCCGGCAUAUCUCUCUCCCCAAUCCCGCCCUCCUGUCCGCCUCCCAUCCCGCGCCGCGCCAUGGCUCCCCACCACCUCCAGCUCUUCGUUGCCGCUGGCCGCUCGAACCCAGCGCGCCGCCGGCCGCUCACCCCUGGAAGCGCCCCCCCAAUCCCGCUCUCCUGUCCGCCUCCCAUCCCGCCCCACGCCAUGGCUCCCCACCACCUCCAGCUCUUCGUUGCCGCCGGCCGCUCGAAGCCAGCGCUCCGCCGGCCGCUCGCCCCUGGAAGCACCCCCCAAUCCCGCCCUCCUGUCCGCCUCCCAUCCCGCACUGCGCCAUGGCUCCCCACCACCUCCAGCUCGUCGUUGCCGCCGGCCGCUUGAACCCAGCGCGCCAUGGUCCAGCUCUCGUGGCGCCCUAGGCUAAGAAUAAGCUGAGAGCGUCGAGAGCGAGGUGCGCACCAGCUCCGGCAUGUUUCUGCAGAAGAAGCAGGUGAGCUAUAUCACACCAACUGAUCUCGUUUACUAUGGUCAUGUUACGGGUUUGCGUUGAUUCAGAGAUGAAACAGCAGCUUAUUUUGGUUGCUUGUGUACAUGGUGGUCUUGAAUAGGGAAUGCACCAUUAGGUAGAUUGCUAUUUUGUGCAGGUGUUCUCAACCAGCAACCUGAAGCAGUGGUGUUCCCAGGUGCUGUUCCCACAACCGUGAUGUGGUCUUCCCAGGAGUGUGCUGUGGUGUUCUGAACCAGGAACCUGAAGCUCUUUAGAUCACAAAGAAUUAAAUGGCACCUGAAGCAGCAAGGAUUUGUCAUUCUGUUCUUGAGAGCAAUGUAAAAUAAUAUACAUGUACAGAUUUGUUGUAAUCCUGAUACUCUUGAGAGGAAUGUUAAAUAAAGUGUCAUUCUGGUUUCAGUUUA
Molecule: long non-coding RNA, 903 nt
Organism: Panicum hallii
Lineage: Eukaryota; Viridiplantae; Streptophyta; Magnoliopsida; Poales; Poaceae
Exons: 2
Source: RefSeq, a predicted model, not a curated record